Molecule: ribosomal RNA, 253 nt
Filed under: uncultured prokaryote
Description: partial 16S ribosomal RNA
Rfam family: Bacterial small subunit ribosomal RNA
Source: RNAcentral
ACGUAGGGUGCAAGCGUUGUCCGGAAUUACUGGGUGUAAAGGGUCCGCAGGCGGGCAGACAAGUCGGUGGUGAAAUCUCUUCGCUCAACGGAGAGACUGCCAUCGAUACUGUUUGUCUUGAGUUCGAGAGAGGAUAAUGGAAUUCAUGGUGUAGCGGUGAAAUGCGUAGAGAUCAUGAAGAACACCGGUAGCGAAGGCGGUUAUCUGGCUCGAUACUGACGCUCAGGGACGAAAGCGUGGGUAGCAAACAGGA